Molecule: ribosomal RNA, 325 nt
Filed under: uncultured eukaryote
Lineage: Eukaryota
Description: partial 18S ribosomal RNA
Rfam family: Eukaryotic small subunit ribosomal RNA
Source: RNAcentral
CCCUUAGAUGUUCUGGGCCGCACACGCGCUACACUGAAGGAGGCAGCGUGUACUCCUGGAUCGAAAGAUUUGGGUAACCCGCGAAUCUCCUUCGUGCUAGGGAUUGAGGUUUGCAAUUAUCCUUCAUGAACGAGGAAUUCCCAGUAAGUGCAAGUCAUAAGCUUGCGCUGACUACGUCCCUGCCCUUUGUACACACCGCCCGUCGCUCCUACCGAUUGAAUGGUCCGGUGAAGCGUUCGGACCGUGGCCUUUGGACGGUUCGCCGUCUGUUGGCUGCGGGAAGUUCGUUAAACCUUAUCAUUUAGAGGAAGGAGCAGUCGUAACA